CUCUGACAACAAACCAAUUUUGACAGCUCCUUUUCUCGACCAGCUGACUGUUUCAGGAACAGUAUGUAACGGACAAAGCAGUUUAUCGAAAAUUGUUGAUUUGAAUUUAACAUAACUCCACUGACUCCACCUCUCCUACCCCUCCUACCACUAACUCUACCCACAGAAUCCUCAGCAGAUGAACGCAAAAUACAGUAUCCGUGUGUGUUACACUCUCGCAUCCUUAGGGAAAUACUGUAAGGACCUCGCAUUUAUAUUACACUCUGUUGCAAAAUUAUAGGGACACUCAAUUUUUUUUUUACAUUCGUAUUGAUUCCCACUUGUUUAAUUCACAAAAAUACCAAUAAUUUUUUUGUGACAAAUAAAGUACAUUUUUUUAUUCCUUAUA
Long non-coding RNA from Phlebotomus papatasi, 388 nucleotides. RefSeq lists it as uncharacterized. Lineage: Eukaryota; Metazoa; Arthropoda; Insecta; Diptera; Psychodidae. The record is from RefSeq and is a predicted model, not a curated record. The transcript has 2 exons.